GAUGGCAGCAGCAACAGCAGCAGCAUUGGUACCAUCUGGACUUGCCAGCAGCAGCUUGAAUGGGACGAAGCUACGAAUCAAGCCUACAGCGCAAGUUUCAAUGAGAAGAUCCACAGCCAAGUAAGUUACUUCAAAGAGGAAAACUUACAGUGGAACUGUUCCUUCGAAAACUUCCAGGCUCGGUGUCUCGGCGAAGUAUGGAGAGAAGAGCGUCUACUUCGACUUGGGAGAUAUCAACAACACCACCGGAGCUUGGGACUUGUAUGGAUCGGAUACGCCUUCCCCUUACAAUGGACUCCAGGUGUGUCUUCUCUUUCUUCUUGAUCCACGGAGAUGAAACUUUUUUGCUUUCUCGUUUCGUAGAGCCAAUUCUUCCAAAUCUUCGCUGGCGCUUUCACCAAGAGAGGGCUGUUGCUCAAGUUUCUACUGCUUGCUGGUACCGGUGCUGUGGCUUUCACGGGCGCUAAUGCACCUGCGAGUCUCGUCCCUGUCAAGAGAGGAGCUGUUGGGCCGCCGACGCCUGGCCCGAGAGGCAAGAUCUAGAUCGAGAAACGCUGCUAGCCACCAUGAAUGUAACUUAUGCUGGAACUUCGUCACUCUGGAUAAGAAACCAAAGCUUGAGCUUGCUCGUGAUUCUCUUUGUGAUCAAAAUCUAGCGAGCUUGGAUCUGGUCAAGAACUUAAGCUGGCCAGCCACGGCAAGAGCUGCUCGUGCACAAGCUCUGGCCCGUCGUCGUGAGGACAGUGUCCAACGUUUUGUAGCACUCGAAGCUUUACGUUUGGACGUGAGGAUGGAAGGCUGGUAAAGUACUUGCCCACUGGUCCAUCCACCGGAGUGAAAGGAUCGGUGUCGCCCCAUAGCACCAAGAUCGGGCAGUGGAUCUUGUCGAUGAGAGCCAUGGGAGUCGGGCCUGGAGGACCAGUUAUGAUCGAAACGAAUGCUUCCAGAGCUCCUGGAUCCUCCGCAGGCCUUCUGAUAAUCUGUGGAGGCGAAAGUUUGAGAUAAACUCGAGAAGGAAUCGAGUACCUCUAUGAGUUCUUGGUCCACAGCUUCCUUGUUGACGUAAACUGACGAUAGAAGAGUCUUAAGAUUUUCCCUGUAGAUUUGCAAAGCUUUAGAAAGUUUGCGCAGCCAUGGUGAAGCUUACCUCGACUUCACUCGGUUGAAGAGACGAGAGGAGAUUCCUGGUUGCUUGAGUAGCCAGUCUAUGAGCGAAAGCAAGGGUGAUGCUAGCUUCAAGCGCCAGUCAUCCACCACUGCUUUGUUGUUCAUUCCUCCAGCACAGUUUAAAAGCACUGCUCCUCGAAUCAAUCCUUCAGUGGCAUCUAGAGAGAAAAAGAAGAGAAGAUCCAUGCAAGUUAGAGAGAGAGAGAGAGAACGAUCAACUUACUCGCAGUAGCAGUAAGACAUGCGAGACUGCCGAUAGAAUUUCCAACAAGAACAGUCGGAGCCGACUCCAUAACAUCUUUGAUGAAAUCUAGCAAAAGCUGCUCUACGGAACGCCGCACUGUAGCAAGUUCUUAGCACGAUAUCCAAAAAAGAAGAAACAAAACCAGCAAGAACACAAACCUCUCCCCAUGUUUCCAUUGUGUAAGAAAAGUUUGCCGGUUUCUCAGACGCGCCUAGUCCCAGAAGAUCGAUUGCGUAGACCGAAUAGUUCUUCGCAAGAACAGGGAUGUUUCUGCGACCAAAUUCACGGAUUUCACAAGCUAGAAUAUCAUCCAGAGAACCAAUUACCUCCUGAAAUGCCCGAUAGAAGCCCCAAAUCCAUGGACGAGAAGAAUCGCGGGGCCUCCACUCGAAACGAGAGCAGCGUAGUUGAUCUUGUACAACCCCUUCCACUCCCAGACCUUGCACUGGCUGUAAAUCUCUUCCAUUCCCGGGCCGAUGUCUCCAGGAGCGACCUCUUGCUGCUCCUCUCCACCGCCUGCCAGGGCAAUUCCAAUGCUCGCCUCCGGCAAUCCAACAACGCUGCUGCUCGCGCUUGCUUCGCUUUCUUGAGACGACGAUCCAGCUGCGCAACUCACGCGAUUUCUGUAAGCAAUGCGGCAUCUUCCCCCCUGGAUCGAAAAUCUAGAAGAAGAAACGCUGAGAGAAGCGUUGAGGGCUAUUGCCGCCAUAGCCAAAUUAACGUUAAGUUUCUAGGGUUCUUCAUUUUCCCGCCAUUUUCUUUCCUCUUUCUUCUAGGGCUUUAGCGAGCGGCUAUGGCGGGUGAGUCGAUUUCUCUGCGCGCCGCUGUUGACGACGACGAAUGCAGGUGAUCCGAUGGAAAUCGACGGAUUCAAGCAACAGCAAGGGCAGGCGCUUUGCAAUCCCGAGCUUUUGAGCCUCUAUUACAGUGAGAUUGUUCGUUCUAGUGUGCUAGCGCCUAAGCUGGAUCGCGAUUCUCCAGGACGGAUUUUCCCUUUCGCUGAGAUGUACAAGUGGCUAUCGUAUGGCAAUGGUACGUUUCUAGACGAUACCAGUCUAGAUCUAACUUCGGUCGUCUUUUCGUAGAUGGAAAGCAUCCUUCUUGCGAUUCUUCGUUUUUUGGGCGGAGAGAGUUCUCUUUCACUCUGGAGAACGACAUUUAUUUGCGGUACAUGUCUUUCCGCGAUGCGUCGGAAUUUGAAGCUACUGUGUGUGAAAAGCGUCCUCAAAAAAUUGAUAUUGGAGCGGUUUACAGUGUGGAUGUAAGUUCCUGGUUGUGUUUUUUUUCUUUCUUUCCUAACACUUUUUUCCUCGCAGCCUGCCAAGCGCUUAGCGUAUGCCAACGUUUCCAAUGAUAGAGUUUUUGCUCCCGUCGAGAAGGAAUUGGUAUUUGAUGUUGUGAGUGCCAGAACUUCUAUAUAUAAGGGUCAGAAACUCACCACGCUUGCAGGACAUGACAGACUACGAUGACAUUCGAAACUGUUGUUCUGGAGCCGACAUUUGUUUGAAGUGCUGGCCGCUCAUGACAAUAGCUAUCAAAGUUGUUGAUUCGACUUUGCGAGGUAGCGGUCGUCUGAUUUUGGUUGAAUGCUCAUUGGUUUCUGGCGCCUAGAGGACUUCGGGUUUGAUCACAUCCUAUGGGUAUAUAGUGGACGACGAGGAGUACACUGCUGGGUGUGUGACGCACGAGCUCGCAAGCUGACUAAUGAGCAAAGAGCGUCCAUUGCUGACUACUUUCGAGUUUAUAAGGUUUGAGAUUUAAUUCUUUAGUCGUGAGGAUCUGACUUCGUGAAAAGGGUAACGAGAAUAACAACAGGAAGGUGUCCUUGCCUACACAUCUUCAUCCAUUUCUAGCGUAUGUGUCUCGUUCUUUUUUGUUAGUUAUUGAUUCGACAAUGGACAUGACAGGAGAACUUAUUCACAGUUUUUGAGUCGCUAUUUUGACGAAGAAAUCCUGAUAAAGCAGAGUUUGCUGCAUCCUCAAGAGAAUGCUGACAAGGUUCUUAAGCUGCUCUCUGGUGAAGGUAUGUCAAUGCAGUAUAUGUCUAGCGUUUAUUCCGAGCUUCCAGUUCAAUUGGAGGAGAAAAAGCGUAAUAAUACAUUGCUCCCUGACAAGAUAAAUAGACAGCGCUGGGCAGAUUUACAGAGGAAGCUCAUGCAGAAGCGAGGUAUUCAAAGAGAGCUUGUAUUUACUUAUACGUACCCAAGACUGGACCUGGAGGUGAGGGAACAACUUUAAGUUAUUUCCCCUCUUGUUUUGCUCACUGUUGUAUAACAGGUAACUAAGAAAAUGAAUCAUCUGCUAAAGGCGCCUUUCUGCAUCCAUCCAAAGACUGGUAAUGCAUGGCUUACCAUCUUAAACUGUUUUAUCACUUGUCAGUUGUGGUGUAGGACGCGUCUGCGUGCCUAUCGAUCCUGCAGACUGCGACAAUUUUGAUCCAACGACUGUCCCGACAUUGCCAGAGGUACUGGUCUUCAGAUUAAAACAUGUAAAUUCUAGUUUUUCUUCUGUUUCCAGCUGCUCAAUGAUCUAAACAACGGCGAUGCGCGUCCAGUAUCCAAAGGUACCGGCUCUUUCUUUUUAAGUUCUCACAUUUUCCUGUACAGAUUGGGAACGCACGUCCCUUGCCAAGUCAAUUCGCUUCUUCAAGUCGUCCUUCCUCGAGCCUCUUCUCAAGGAAUGCAGAGUAAGUUUUUCUUUUUUUUUUUCCGCAACAGGUUUGAAAUUCCUGGCCGUGCAAAAUGCAGUGUCAGCUGGAAGCAAGCCAUCACAAGAAGCUGCAAGAAAUGUCGGCAAGACCAAACUUUACCUGGUAGUUUUUAAAUGAAAGCAAUGUAACCUUUCAUUCAUGGUAAGAAUAAAAGCUAUUGUUCAUCAAUGUGUUUGGAUUUAACGUUGUGAUAUUUUAGGGCCUUGGCUUUCGAGCCUGUCUUCUCACUGUUCGCUGUGUCUACUGUAGUUCUUUUCGGCUUGCAUUAGCAGGUCUCGUUUUGCUUCUCACCUUGUGUGACAGUUUGCCGUCUUCGUGUCUCUAGAAAUGGGGGAAGCGAACAUUGGCCUCAAGCCAAUAGACGCGGAAGAAUUUCGCAAGCAUGCUCACGAGAUGGUGGACUUCAUUGCAGAUUAUUACCGUGAUAUUGAGAGCUUUCCCGUUCGCAGUCAAGUCUCUGUACGUUUUUCCUUCUUCCUCCAAUUUCUAAUUUGCCUGACACUUGAUUUAUUGAGCAGCCUGGAUACUUGAAAACUUUGUUGCCUCCGGCUGCGCCUGAAGAUCCCGAAACGCUGGAGGAAGUUUUUGCCGGUAUGUUCUUUUUCCAAGCGCAAUAAAAUGCCGAGUUUCCUUCCUUUCAGAUAUUCAGAGCAAGGCAAAGCCCGAAUUUUUUCGGAUAUUAUCCGUCCAACAGUAGCACGGCAGGGCUCUUGGGGGAAAUGUUAAGUGCUGGAUUGAACAUUGUUGGAUUUAGCUGGAUAACUUCGCCGGCGGCGACAGAGCUGGAGACCAUUGUUCUUGACUGGCUUGCAAAGCUGUUGAAACUUCCCGACGAGUUUCUAUUUGGAGGUAUGGUGGAAAUUUUAGAUUAUAAGAUCAUUAUUCUUACACUUUACAAUGCAGGUAAUGGCGGCGGAGUGAUUCAAGGGACUGCUAGUGAGGCAGUUGCUGUGGUGCUACUCGCUGCUCGAACUCGAGCCAUUUCAGGAAACAAGAGAAAAGGUUUGUCGGAAGCGGAGAUUCUUUCAAAGCUGGCGGUGUAUACGUCAGAUCAAACUCAUUCCUGUCUGCAAAAAGGAUGUGUGGUACGCCAUUUCAAGCUUCUAGUCCUUUCAAUCCGUGAUAACCUCUUCGUGUUUGUUGUACAGAUUGCUGGGAUUCCUCUUGAAAAUCUAGUGAUUGUUCCAACUGAUAGCUCAACAAAUUAUGCAGUAUCACCAGCUGCGAUGAGACAAGCACUUGAGGAUGGCGUCAAGCAGGGACUUUUGCCAUUCUUCCUUUGCGGGACUGUGAGUUCGUGCAACUAGCUUGUCUCCCUCCUUACGCCUGUUAUGUUCUUUCCUAGGUGGGAACUACAUCAUCUUCGGCCGUGGAUCCAUUGUCUGCUUUAGGAGAUAUUGCAAAGGUAUAGCUCUUUUCUUUUCAAUUUCUAUCGAUCUCAAAAUGCAAGAAUGUUACCAGGAUUUUGGAAUGUGGUUCCACGUUGACGCUGCCUACGCUGGCUCUGCGUGCAUCUGCCCAGAGUUUCGGCAUCACCUGGAUGGAGUUGAGAAAGCAGAUUCGUUUAACAUGAACGCACAUAAGUGGCUGCUUACAAACUUCGAUUGUUCUGCUCUUUGGGUGAAGGUAAAGUGGUGUUCAUUCAUUUUCCAAGAGUUCUUAUACCUUUUGCUUUUCUCGAUAGGAAUCCAGCCAUCUGGUGUCAGCUCUUUCUACAACACCUGAGUUCUUGCGUAACAAGGUAGCGCAUAUCUUUCUCACUUUCGUGUUUAAGUUUCCUUUUCCUUUCUUUGUUGUUCCAGGCAUCUGAUUUAAAUCAAGUUGUCGACUACAAAGACUGGCAGAUACCUCUCGGCAGAAGAUUCAGGUUCUAGUCUUCCGUUUUUCCCUUUAAAAUCAAAUCCUUAGGAAACAUUGUAAAACAGGUCGUUGAAGCUGUGGUUUGUCAUGCGCAUGAAUGGCGCUUCUGGAUUACGGAGCUACAUAAGGAACCAUGUCCGCCUUGCAAAGCGCUUCGAAGGCUUCGUGCGUGAAGACCCACGCUUCCAAGUAAGGCACACGUUCUAUUCUUCAAACACGCUGGCACCAUUUUGCAGCUUCUAGUUCCUCGCACAUUCGGCUUGAUUUGCUUCAGGCUAAAGCCAGAAAGCGAUGAUCCGGACAACGGACGCACUCUAAACUCGACGCUUCUGGAGACUGUCAAUUCCAGCGGAAGAAUGUUUAUCACUCACACGGUAAGCCAGCAAAACUAUCGCGAAUCCGAGCUCUCUUCUCAAAGUUAUACUUGCCUGAAUAGGUGCUCUCGGGCGUCUACACGCUGAGGAUGGCCAUCGGCGCUCCACUCACGCAAGACAAGCACGUAGACGCUGCGUGGAAGCUCAUCCAAGAAGAAGCCACCACCCUCUUUGAGAUAAACUUGGUUAAGGGCCCUUCGCAUAUUCUUGCGAAUAAUCUUUGUUCCGAAAUUUAAAAGACUUGGUUUAGGGUUUAGGUGCUUCGGAUAUGCUUGCGAAUAAUCUUUGUUUUUAGUAUAUUCUCUGAUAUUUGGAUAUGAUCUGGGCCAUUGAUUCUAGGGUUCCUCGUGGUUUUGCGGCGAUAGACUAGAGUCACUCAAGCGCCUCGUGUCCAUGGCGCAUUUUGAGCGCUGAAAGUCGCCAAGAUCGAUGUCUUCCACGGGAUACCAGCAGCGCUGAUGAUCCUUUCCAUCAGCUUUGUCAAAUUUCUCGUGCCACAUCUGUGAAGAAUGAUCCGAAGAAUGAUCUAUUCCAAUCGUGUUAGAUAAAUGUUUGCUAAGUGUAACGCUAUUUACAGAUCAAGGCCCGGCACCAUCGCCACCGUCACGACCCAAUACUCGGUUCCCACGGGCAGCUCAUACGAGUUUGCUCGAUGCCUCCCCAUCACCGACGAGGAAGAAGAAGCUCCUCCCUCCAAGAUCGAGAAGCUGGAGGAGCUAGCACCGGGCGGCGCUGCGACGGUGUGGUGCUCGAUGUGGACGAUCUGGCCGACUAUAUACUUCCGCCGCUGCUCGUUCUUGCCGUGGAACAGCGCGAUGGAUUCCUCCGAUAGAAAAUAGUUUGGGCAGUUCCGGUUGAGCGCUUCGUAGUGACCAGCCGCGUUUGGAGCGAAGAGUGCCAGCUCGUGGACCUCGAAUCGUGUCAGGCAGAUCUUCUCCUUGCUAGCCUGCAAGGUUUCCACAGAGUCUCCCAAGGUGUCAAGAACCAAAAAAAAAAACGGGUUUUUCUUUAGAAAAAAUCUCCAGCCAUUCUCUCUAAGUCGUCUAGAGUAAGUACCUGUUUCUCAAGUUUACACUUUGCGAAGAGGCUCUUGGCCAUCUCGGCUUUGUUCUCCACCUCCUUCCUCAGCUGGCUCUGCGAGCUCUCCGCAAGCUUGACGCGCUCGGCGAGCUCGGCGCGCUGCUGAGCCAGAAACGUCACCCUGUCCGCUAGGAUGCUGAUAAACGAUCGAAACUCCGCUCCCACAUCGUCUCCACCAUCACUGCCAAAGAACUAACUUAGCAAGCCUUCCAAAGAACUAACUUAGCAAACUUUCCAAAGCGCGGACGAACGACUUACCUCGGCAGUGAAGCGGACAAGGAGCGUAGAGAGUCCAUGAAACCGGCAGGGCCACCGGCCGGAGAGGCAAUGCAGCUCCUCAGCCUCUCCAGCAAGCCGCGAAGCUUGACGCUGGAGGCGCGAAGAACGUUGUACUCGGACGCUCGGCGGUCGGCCGCGCAGAGGUGGAUUUGCGCCUCCUCCCGUGCCUCGUGAAGCCUAUUCUCCAGAUGCGCAGAGUUCAUCUGACACUGCCUGAGUAGCUCCGCGCUCGUCUCAAGCUCUUCUCGAAGCCUCACCACCUCUGAAAGCACGGGCUCGUCCGCCGGCCACUCCCUCGUCUGUGAGAACACGUCCUUGACUGGAUGCUGGUUCUUCGCUUCCUCGGACUGUGCGCUACUGUCUUCCUGUCCCGUGGCACCAUCCAUCGGCUCCACCGCUGCUCCAGUGAUAGCCGAGUUAUCCGACUCUUCCCUGCGUUGAUCUUCACUCGACACCAUCGUAUCCAAGUCGGUUCUCUCACGUUCCUCUUGCUCCCUCAGCCUGUCUUCCAGCUCUCGGAUCCGGGACUCGUAUGAACUACACCGGCCCUCCUUCUCGGUUAUGAUUCUGUGCAAGUGUUUGGCAUGCUCGUCUUUCAGCCUCAGAGCCUCGGCAGUUCUCUCGGCCGAGCUCAAGUUCCCACGUAUCUCUUGGUCCUCGGCAUCCCCCAGGAUGUCUGGCUGAAAGCCGGGGUCGAUGCUGCAGAUAAAUGCGAUGGACGCUGCUAACUGAGCUCUCAGCCUGGCAUUCUCGACCUCCAACUUACUCGUGCCAGAUAUCUCGUCAGUGCAAAAGUCUUCCUUUCCUUCUGGAUCACCCCAGUCGUCCGCCGGAGAAUCAGCCUUGAGUGACCCUGUUACCUGAUAAGGAGCAUACUUCUCCACAUCCGCCAAGUCGAUGUCCAGUAAGUUGGAGUCGAAAGACGCGAGGUUGAUGAGGAACUGACUGGGAACCUCAAGCAGUCCCAUUUGCGAUAAAAGCUCUCGAGGCAAAGCAGCCGUGUGCGUUUGUAGAAACUCUUCCCUGCGGACCACCUCUUUCUCCCUCUUGGCGGCCAUCCUCUCUGCGAGUUGCCCGGCCUGCCCGAGGUAGAGCUUCAUAUAAGACUUCCUCCUCACGACCUCGGCGAGGCAAGCCUUGUAAGAACUCCCGACCCUGCGGAACUGCUUGAGCAUCUCAAAGUUCUCGUCCUGGCGAGCCAUGACUUCCCGGAACCCGGAUAUCUGGUUCCUCGUCAACUUUAUACUGGCCUGGAGCGACGCCACGCUCUGCAUCCUCUGGUGGACGCACAGCGUCAUCGCGUUCUUCCCCACGACCAGCUGCUGGAGAAGCUUUGCGAGCUCGGCAUCGCAGUCCUCCAUUCUCGGCAAGUGACUCUUGACCUGCACAUCAUGCAUCGGGCCGAGAGCCAACAGUGCGUCCUGAACUUGCAUGGAUGAAUACCUUCCGUCGGAGUAGUCAUCGCUCAGCCUCUUCACCUUGGUCACAUCCUUCCUGGAAAGAAAAGAAGCAAGAUCAUUUCAACUUCCACUAGAAACUUCAUAAAAAACUCUUUUUCUUACCUCAACGACUGAAGGAUCGUCGACUGUUCAUCGAUAAACCUUGCGUGCAAUCCAAGAGUCCGCUCCAGAUUCUCCAAGCUCACCGCGGAUGGCUCCUCGAGAAAGUCUUCCACCCUCCGCUUCAAGCCCGAGUACUCGGACGCCAGCCCGGCCACCUUCGUGCAGAGCUGCUUGUGAUACACGCCACAGUCGUCGGCCGACUUGCGCAAGCUCCCUUCCUUGACGCAAUCCAAGAGAGUGUACCGUGUCUCCGUCCUGAGGGCCGGAUGGAGCUUGCAAGCACGCAAUCUCUCGAUAUCCUUGCCCAAGUUUGCCAGAACCUCCGUGUGCUGCUGGCUCUGCCGCUGGAAAUCCUCCACAAACUCGCCAUAGACGUGCUGGAUGCUGCGGUAGUGCUGCUCCAUGCUUCGCCGGACAGUCUCUAGCGCCAUGUCCUGGACACGAAUCUCUCGAGCGAGCUUGUGGCAUGCAUCGAGCUUCUUCUGGCUAGCGCUCAAGAUGGCGUGACCCUUCUGGAAGUUAUACCGGAAUUGCCUCUCGGAAGAAACCAAAGGAGAGGAGCUUCCACUCCUCUCGGCCGCUGGAGCCUCCGGAAGAACUGGCACGACAUUCUCUGGAGCUCCCUGCUGUGGCGGCAGCGGCGAAUUCGGCGCUAGUCGCUGGCGAUUGAAGAGGAAGAUCGGCCUCUCGUCGUCUGGGAGGCGGUAGAAUCCCAGUGACCUGUGUGAAUCCAAGCGGGCAUCGCCGGAGAAGAGGAGCUGGUCUUGCCUGAGCACGCCGGUGAGCGACGCCAAGACAUCCUGGAUUUCUUCCACCCUCGUCCCCGCCUGGCAGUCCUCCAGCUCGAAGGACUGGCCGCUCUCGGCGACAUGGAUCAUCAUCGUUGGCGAUGGAAAUUUUGCCCUUUCACAUUCCUCGCCCUCUUCCAAGAGCGCGAUCGAUCGAUGGAGCGAGGAGAGGAGACGAGGAAGCGUGGAUCACUGCCACACGCGUCCUAAAUGCUUACUUGAAUUGCGCCCGCGGGGAAAGCAAGGAUUUCUCCACUCGAGGACGCCGCCCUAACUGAAGCCCUCGCUGGUUUAUAGGGUUUAGAUGCUUCCAAACUUACAAUCCUUGGGUACAAUUAGCCCCUUAAUAUAGUGGUUGUGCGUAACCACUAAUUAGAAGUCCUCCAUGGCUUCUCGCGAUCAUGCUCGGUGCUCUUUUCCAUGCAAGCCAAGCUUACACUGCUGUUCAAAGGCGCAAGCACAAAGAUCUAUCGCACAGUUUUCCGGAUUGCUUGUUGUGAUUCAUGGACGCUAAAGAACGAGUUUACCGAGAACUACGAGCUUGUAAAGGGAGCACUAGCAAAACUGGGCAAUGAGGAUGAGGGCCCGUUUCUCUGUGAAGCCCACGAGCCAGGAGCACUGCCCAAGCUCUUCAAGGCCAUGUCAUCCCUCGGCCAAAGUGGUGGUGCUGCCAUUUGAGACCUUUAGGGACUUUCUCUUAUGUGUCAAUGGCUUCUGUUAUAUAGCUCGAAUUUUUUUUAUAUUAACACUCUUUCCUAUUAUCAUUACAAAUGCAUAAUACAUUUCAUUUAUAAUUUUUGAACUGAUUCUUCUAGAAUUUCAACACUUAAAUUGCACUUUUAUAGAGUCGAAAGUAUAUUUUUUUAAUAUACAGAGAACACAAUUUCACAUUGAAAAACUAUAACCACUAGCAACGUUCUUAAAGAUUUUUGAUAAUAAUUAUAUUUUAUAAAUAUUUCUAUAAGUUCUUUUUUUUCAAUUUUUGCUAUGUAAAAUACAUUUAGUAUUGUGAGUGCAUGGAAUAUGGAAAGGGAAUACAGAAAUGUGCAUAUCAAUUAGCCCAAAAACCCUAGCUUAUAUACAAGAGCGAGUGGUCUGGAUUGAAACCAAUCCGACGGCUACCAAAAUCCACUACGCUAAUAUUAGUAUACGGCAUCGUAGCCGUACACUUGGCCCUCACAUCAUCCCCUCCUCUCGGAAUAAUGGAAGGCCGUCAGGGUUCUCUUGUAGAUGGGCCGGGAUCUGGAGGAACGUCAGGAGGAGGCAUUGGUGGAUCUGUAGACGGUAUUAACUGCUCCUGAUCCCUUUGUAUGAAGCGUUUUAACCGCUGCACAUGCACAAUCUCCGGAGGAUCGGCCUGCUGAACGUCAUGCCGAACCUCAUAAACUUGUGGUCCAACUUGCCGCAACACCCGAUACGGUCCUUUCCACUGCGCAAGGAGCCCCUUAGAUAAACCACGUACCGUAAGAUGGGGAAAACAGAUUAACACACUUUGUACUCCGCAGGUGGACGAUGAUGGGAAUUGUAACGCCGUUGUUGUCCCACUUGUACGCGGCCUAAGUGUUCAGCAGACUCUACUCGGACAAGUGGAAGAAUGCUUGUCAAAUAUUGAUCCCAUGACCUAGCAUCAGGAGCUCGUGGCAAUCGCGAAGGUAAACCCAGCUCUGUUGGUAAUAUUGGAUCAUGACCAUAUAGAAGUUUAUAUGGUGAAGCACCAACAAAACUCUGCACCCCUGUGACAUAGGCAUACCGAAGAGACGGCAAAUAACCAUCCCAAUCCGAAUGUUGAAAGUUCACAUACUUCGCAAUCAUCCCUUUGAAUGUCCGAACGAGCCGUUCCACCAGACCGUCUGAUUGUGGAUGAUAAGCACUCGUAAAAGUGUGGCGUAUCCCCAACCGAGAUGUCAAAACAUGAAAUACCUCAGCCAUAAAUGCAGGACCAUUAUCCGAAAGAAUCCGCUCUGGACAAGAAUGCUGGAACACCACUCGAUUGAGGAGGAAGUAUCCAACAGCAGUUGCAGAAGCACUAGCAAGAGCACCAACUUCCACCCAACGAGUCAAGUAGUCAGAAGCAAUAAUAACAUACUCAUUGCCAGCAGUCGAUCGCGGAAAAGGUCCCAUAAGAUCAAACGCCACCAACUCAAACGGACGAGAAACUGCAAUUGACUCCAACCGUCUUUCCGCAGCACAAGGGGGAGUAUUACGAGCUUGGCACCAAACGCAGCUACGCACAUACCGGAUAAUAUCACGUCGCAUCUCUGGCCAAUAGAAAGAUCUGCGCAGCUUCUCGGUGACACGACGGUGUCCCAUAUGCCCACCUAGAAUAGGAGAAUCAUGGUAGGCAUGGAGAAACCGCGGAAUAAACACCGAAGGCACCACCAGCCGUAAAUGAUCAGCAGGAUCCGUCCCCACAAAAUAAAGAAGGCCAUCUUCAAGGCGAUAUUGAGAAUGUAAAUGCCGAAAAGGCAAGUCAUCAGCAAGUGAUGCAGGAUUCUCAAACCCAUCUCGAAGCCUUCGAAUCCACGGCUCAAUCUUUUGAGCCUCGCGAACCUCAUCAAGAGAAGGUAGAUCUUGCUCUAUGCCCUGUGAGCACUGAACGUCAAUGACAGCGACCGCCGACGGCACAGAAUCCUCAUUUAGAAAAUCCACAGAUGCUGGAACAACAGGUUCGUCAGAAACAUGAGAAGUGAGUGGAGAAGGAAGAGGAGCUCGAGAAAGGGCAUCAGCAUCAGCCAUAGAACUCCUUGGGCGAUGAACAACAUCAAAAUCAUAUAUCUGAAGCUUCAAAGCCCAUCGAGCCGUACGACCAACCAGGUUCUUCCGCUUCAAUAAUGAAGUAACAGCAGCAUGGUCACCUUCAAGUAACGUCCGAGAACCAUGUAGAUAUGCAUGAAGUUUCUCGAAACCCCAGACUGCUGCUAAACACUCCUUCUCCGUCGUGGAGUAGUUCAUCUCCGCUGGUUGUAAUGUACGGCUGAUGUAUGCAAUGGGAUGGCGCUGACCAGGCACACUCGAGCUCUCUUGCAUCAACACACCUCCAAGACCAAUGUCAGAAGCAUCCACGCGCAAAAUAAAAGGUCGAGUGUAGUCAGGAUAUGCCAAAACCGGAGGAGUCGUCAAUAGCUCUUUGAGAUUCACGAACGCCCGCUCACAAUCGGGAGACCAGAUGAAAGAUGACGUUGAUGACUUCAGCAACGCUCGCAAUGGUGUAGUGCGAUCGGAAAGAUGAUCCACAAAACGACCGAGAUACUGCACCUUACCCAAAAAACGCUGCACAUCAUUCACACACUUUGGAGUAGGGAACUUUAGAACAGCCACAAGUUUGUCAGGAUCAACUUGCAAACCCUCACGAGAAAUACGGUACCCAAGAUAAGUUGUGUCCUUGGACCCAAACACGCACUUCGACCGCUUCAGCUUUAAACCAACGUCGCAUAGCCGAUCCAACACUUUACAAACAUCACGAACAUGCUCCUCCCACGUCCCCUCCGAGUGGAUCAAGACAUCAUCAAUGAAGUCAGCUGUCACCUUCGGCAUAUCGCAAAGAACCUCGUCCAUCAUCCGCUGAAAAGUUGCUGGAGCAUUGUUCAAACUAAACGGCAUCACCAAAAACUCGUACAAACCAAAUGGUGUACGAAAAGCAGUCUUAGGAAUAUCUUCUUCAGCCAUCGGUACUUGCCAAUACCCAGAAGCAAGAUCUAGCUUGGUGAACCAACGACUUCGCCCCAGACGAUCCAAGAGAUCAGCAGUGUGAGGAAGAGGGUACACGUCCGGAAUCGUCACUUCAUUUAACGGACGAUAGUCGAUGCAGAAACGAAUACUCCCAUCAGGCUUCGUCACAAGAUGAGGUUCACAUGCCCAAGGACUCCGCGACUUCCGAAUAACACCCUUCUCCAACAUCUCCUUGACGUUUGCACGUAAAAUCUUGAUCUCCUUGGGUGACCGACGACGAACAGGAACCUUGAUUGGACGAGCAUCCCCGGUUGGAAUGGGAUGACGUGUGGCAAUCUUGGCCCCAGACGAUAGGUCAAACUCAAAGAGAUCAGAAUACUCCUUCAUGAGCUGGUCAACAGCUGCAACACAAAGAUCAUCGGAGGGAUCGGAAAAAGGAAGAGCAGAACAAGAUGAAAACACAAGAGGAAAUAGUGGGGGAACAAAAGUAAUGGAAGCAAAGGUAGAAGUAGAGGGACGAAGAGGUACGGAAGUGAGAGGAAUGGAUGAAACAUAAGGAAGUAUGAGACAAGGGGGAAAAGCCUCAAAGUCACACUUGGCAUGAUUGUGCUGCAACCAAUCCAUACCAAGAAUGAGGUCAAAAGCUUGACUCGGCACCACCCGCAACGACUGCAACUCAAGCUCGAGAUCGCCCACACGCACAACCAGGUCCGCCUCAUCUCGUGCACAUGCAUGUGUACGGCCGUUGCCAUAAAGAAUGAAAACUGGAUCUGCCGCACGACGCAAGUGUAGACGACAACGUGUGGCAACAGGUCGAGCAAUAGAAGAUAAACUCGAACCUGUAUCAACCAACACGGAGAGAAGAAUAGGAGACCUCUUGUUAUAAAAACGAGCUUGGAAAGUAAACACUGGAUGAACCGGUGCCGAGUGAACCCCUUGAUGAUACUCCCGAAAGAAAGAUGGAGGGGUCACUAACUUAUUCGCGCAAGGUCCCUCCAUUACUCGCGCGACUCCUUGUUUCCCGAAUGCACCUCGGUAUCCAAACCUUCCACCGCAGCAGCACCAACGGGACGUUGCUGACGCCAAGGUCUCCACCCAGGAAAUGGAGGUCGCCAAUCCGGAAAGCGCCAACAACGCCGAUAAGUAUGACCAACUUCAUGACACACCCAGCAACGAACGUCACGGCCACGACCACGUGCUCGCCCUUGUCCUUGGACUCAAGUAGCAGCAGCAUCAACCUCCAUGGGAACAGGACCAUCACUCAUAGGAAGUGGAGCUGAAGGACGUGUAGCAAGAAGUGGAAGAGGCGACGUCUCAUAACAUUGUGCCAAGCGAAGAGCAUCGUCAAGAGUGGCAGGAGCAAGUGCAUGCACAAGUCCGACAAGAUCUUGACGAAGUGCUGGCCACAACAUUCCUAGCUUGAUCCGCUCUAACAUAUUUGGCUCCGCACGAAGCAAAAGACUUCGGAAACGAACGCCAAAUUGCAUCACCGACUCAGAUGGCCCUUGGUGAAGACGAUGCAAUUGUUGGAAGGCAUCAUCACAAUCGUCGGCGUGUCCGAAGGCGCGUUUGAAGACGUCCAGAAGAACACUCCAAUCGCCACGAGUAGCUGCACUCAAUCCAUUGUACCACUGCAAUGCCGUCCCUUGGAGACAUGUGGGGAACUCACGCAAACGUCGAGCAUCAUCCCAAGAAUGAUAUGUGGCAAUCACCGUGAAGUGAUCGAACCAAUGGUACACAUCAUCCCCAGGAUUCCCACGAAAGAACUCCGGCCGAACGCGAGGAUUGGCACCAAAAGCAGGAGGAGUUGUACCAUGUGCCGUGAACGCCGCCAUCAACUGAGUUUGGUUGUUCAAUUGCAAGCGCAUAGCAUCAAGCAAUUGAACCAACUGCUGCUCUAGAGUCAAAGGAGGAGAUUGCGGAUCGGCCAUGAAAAUGAAUGAAAAAGAAAGAGCAAAAGAAGAGAAAUGACAAAAAGCUGGAAAGAAAUGGUAGAUCUAGACAAUGCAAAAAGCUAGAUCUAAACCAAAAUCCUGAAAGGAAAGAACAAAAGAAAGGAAAUGGAAAAAGCUAGAUCUAGACAAUGCAAAAGCUAGAUCUAAAUUGAAAUCCCAAAUCCAAGCACUCCCCAGGGACAAUCAAAGGUGCCCCUCACCUCCACCAAUGUGAGUGCAUGGAAUAUGGAAAGGGAAUAUAGAAAUGUGCAUAUCAAUUAGCCCAAAAACCCUAGCUUAUAUACAGGAGCGAGUGGUCUGGAUUGAAACCAAUCCGACGGCUACCAAAAUCCACUACGCUAAUAUUAGUAUACGGCAUCGUAGCCGUACACUUGGCCCUCACAGUAUGAUAUUUUUAAAAUUAAAAAACAUAUUCUAGAAUUCUAUAACUGUAUUAUUAUAUUUAUAACUCAUUAUAGACACAGUUCUUUUCAAACAUAAUUGCAAUUGUUAAGCUUAAAGAGGAUAAAUUUUCAAACAUAAUUGCAAUUGUUAAGCUUAAAGAGGAUAAAUUUGUUUAAGCCCUCUAAGUUUAAUGAAGAAUCUAAGAUUUUCAGAUUUUUAAGACUUGAGAUUUAAAAUAAAAGAACUUUAGAGAUGGUUUUAAAAACAUAUACUUCUAAUUAUUUUUAUUUUAUGCAAAAUCAACAGUUUUAGUAACCUUUACAAUAACUCACUCACAAUUAUUCUAAGUUUGAGCAAGCAUUAAAACUCACCCACAGGUCAGGAAUUUCAAUAAGAGCGUAGGCAAAUAUCCAGAUUGCUUCCAUACUGUGAGGUAAUAGCAAGAAAUACUUUCACAGAUAGUGAGAUAAUUACUGGGGUAUUUUUUCCUCAAGAUCAGGAUCAUGCUGGGUUUAAUUUGAUGACUUUGGGCUGAUACUCUUAACAGGAGGCUCUCGUAUUCGAGAUCACAAGUUACUGCAAAAAUCAAGCAAAAAUCAAAGGCCAAUAAAGUGUUCCAAGAAUUUCUGGAUGAGACGAUUGCCACCAGCAGGGCUUGAGCUUUGCUGUUGGAUACGAUCACCGUGAAGAAUGGGCUAAGCUUCAGGCUCAUGGAAGGACCAAAGUCAAAUCAAUCGAUUUUUUAAAGUUUAAGCCUGUUACCUUCAGCCUUCUCCUCUGCCUUCUCGGAAAUUCACGUAGGUGGAGCCACCUUGAACACGCUCUUUAUGUUAUAAAAAGCGACCCUUCAUUCGAUCAAACCUCAUUCCAUUCGCAUUUCCAAUUUUCCUUGUCAAUUUUCCAGCCAUGGCUUCUCGCGAUCAAGAGGUGACACUGCUCAGCGCUUGGCCCAGCCCCUAUUCCAUGCGAGUCAAGCUUGCACUAGCGCUCAAAGGCAUCGAGCACGAAGAUCUCCCCCAAGACCUUGGCAACAAGAGCAAGAUCCUGCUCGAAUCCAACCCAGUUCACAAGAAGAUCCCCGUUCUCAUCCACAAGGGCAAGCCCAUCCUGGAAUCGGCCAUCAUUGUCCACUACAUCGACGAGGUCUGGCCCGAAACAAGCCCACUCUUGCCUCAGGACGCAUUCCUUCGCGCACAGCACCGCUUCUGGAGCGAUUUCAUCGACAAAAAGGUAUGGAUUCUCUUACUAGAAAUCUGCUGCUACGGGUUUCAUACUCUUCUUGCUUAUCGAUCACACAGCUUUCCGACUCCUGGAUACGAUUCUUGCGUAGUAACGAUGACGCGGCCGUGAACGAGGAGUUCAACCAAAACUGUUUGCUUAUCGAGGGAGCUCUGGCGGAGCUGGGCAGUGAGGAAGAGGGCCCCUUCUUUGGUGGCGCGAGCAUGUCGUUCUUGGAUGUGCUGCUGGCACCCUAUGCGGUGUGGAUCCCAGGAGUUGAGCAAGUAAUGGGCUUGAAGCCCGCGAAAUGCCCGCGUUUCCACAAGCUCUUGGCGGCCGCGGCGGAGCAUCCCUCGGCCAAAGUGGCGCUGCCGCAAGUCGAGAAGCUCAAGGAGUUUAUUCGCGUUCGCUUUGCGAGCAAGUGAGCGAUGACUGUUUACAAAUCUAAUAAAUCUUUUGCCCGACUGUCCUGGAAGAAGAUUGGAGUCAAGACGUUAGUGUCCUCCUUGCAGAUUGUGCUAGUCCUUGAGUUACAGAAUCCCAGUGAUCGCCGGAGAAGAGGAGCUGGUCUUGCCUGAGCACGCCAGUGAGCAACGCCAAGACAUCCUGGAUUUCUUCCACUUCCCCACUUGCCAAUUAAAUUAAAAAAACAUAUUCUAGAAUUCUAUAACUGUAUUAUUAUAUUUAUAACUCAUUAUACACACAGUUCCUUUCAAAUAUAAUUGCAAUUGUUAAGCUUAAAGAGGAUGAAUUUGUUUAAGCCCUCUAAGUUUAAUGAGGAAUUUAAAAUUUUCAGAUUUUUAAUACUUGAAAUUAAAAAUAAAAGUGUGAGUGCUUGGAUUAUAGAAAGGGAAUACAGAAAAUGUGCAUAUCAAUUAGUCCAAAAACCCUAGUUUAUAUAUAGGAGCAAGUGGUCCGGAUUGAAAACAAUCCGACAGCUAUUAAAAUCCCACUACACUAAUAUUAAUAUAUAGCAUCGUAUCUGUACACUUAGCCCUCACAUCAUCUCCUUUUAUUGGAAUAAUGGGUUUUCUUGUAGACGGGCCGGGAUCUAGAGGAACAUAAGGAGGAGGCAUUAACGGAUCUGUAGGUGGUAUUAAUUAUUCUUGAUCCCUUUGUAUGAAGCAUUUCAAUUGCUACACAUGCACAAUCUCUAGAGGAUUGGCCUGCUGGACGUCAUACCGAACCUCAUAAACUUGUGGUCUAACUUGCCACAACACCCGAUACAGUCCUUUCUAUUGCACAAGGAGCCCCUUAGAUAAACCACGUACCGUAAGAUAGGGAAAAUGGACUAACACCAAAUCAUCCACUUUGUAUUUUGCAGGUGGACGAUGAUGGGAAUUGUAACGUCGUUGUUAUCCCACUUGUACGCAGUCUAAAUGUUUGGCAGACUCUGCUCGGAUAAGUGGAAGAAUGCUCCUCAAAUACUGAUCCCACGACCUAGCAUCGGUAGCUCGUGGCAAUCGCGAAGGUAAAUCCAACUCCAUUGCUAAUAUUGGAUCAUGACUAUAUAGGAGUUUAUAUAGUGAAGCACCAACAAAACUCUGCACCCCUAUGACAUAUGCAUACCGAAGAGACGGCAAAUAACCAUCUUAAUCCAAAUGUUGAAAGUUCACAUACUUCACAAUCAUCCCUUUGAAUGUCCAAACGAGUCGUUUCACCAGAUCGUCUGAUUGUAGAUGAUAAACACUCAUGAAAGUGAUCAUUAUCAGAAAGAAUUUGCUCUAGACAAGAAUGCUGGAACACCACUCGAUUAAAGAGGAAGUAUCCAACAGUAGUUGUAGAGGCACUAGUAAGAGCACCAACUUCCACUCAACGAGUCAAGUAGUCAGAAACAAUAAUAACAUAUUCAUUGCCAGCAGUUGACCAUGGAAAAAGUCCCAUAAGAUCAAACGCCAGCAACUCAAAUGGACGGGAAACUGCAAUUGACUCCAACCAUCCUUCUGUAACACAGUAUUAUGAGCUUAGUACCAAACGCAGUUACGCACAUACCGGAUAAUAUCAUGUCGCAUCUUCGACCAAUAGAAAGACCUGUGGAGCUUCUCGGUUACACGACGAUGUCCUAUAUGCCCACCUAGAAUAAGAGAAUCAUGGUAGGCAUGGAGAAACUAUGAAAUAAAGAAAGAAGGCACCACCAGCCGUAAAUGAUCAUCAAGAUUCGUCCCCACAAAAUAAAGAAGGCCAUCUUCAAGGUGAUAUUGACAAUGUAAAUGCCGGAAAGGCAAGUCAUCAGCAAGUGAUACAAGAUUCUCAAACCCAUCUCGAAGCCUUCGAAUCCACAGUUCAAUCUUUUGAGCCUCGCGAAUCUCAUCAAGAGAAGGUAGAUCUUGCUCUGCACCUUAUGGACACUAAACGUCAAGUACAUCAACUGCCGAUGGCACAGAAUCCUCGUCUAAAAAAUCCACAAAUGCUGGAAUAAUAGACUCGUCAGAAACAUGAGAAGACAGUGGAGAAGGAAAAAGAACUUGAGAAAGGGCAUCAACAUCAGCUAUAGAACUCCCUAGGCAAUGAACAACAUCAAAAUCAUAUAUCUGAAGCUUUAAAGCCCACCGAGCAGUACGACCAAUAAUGUUCUUUCGCUUCAAUAAUGAAGUAAUGACAGCAUGGUCACCUUCAAAUAACGUUCAAGAACCAUGUAGAUAAGCUUGAAGUUUCUCGAAACCCUAGACUACUGCUAAACACUCAUUCUUUGUCAUAAAGUAGUUCACCUUCGCUAGUUGCAAUGUACGGUUUAUAUACACAAUGGAAUGGUGCUGACCAGGCACACUCAGGCUCUCUUGCAUCAACACACCUCCAAGACCAAUAUUGGAAGCAUCCACGUGCAAAAUAAAAGGUCGAGUGUAGUCAGGAUAUGCCAAAACCGGAGGAGUUGUCAAUAGCUUUUUGAGAUCCAUGAACGCUUGCUCACAAUCCAAAGACCAAAUGAAAGAUGAUGUUGAUGACUUUAGUAAUACUCACAACGGUGCACUGCGAUCAGAAAGAUGAUCCACAAAACAACCGAGAUACUGCACCUUGCCCAAGAAGCACUGCACAUCAUUCACACACUUCGGAGUAGGGAACUUUAGAAUACCUACAAAUUUGUCAUUAUCAACUUGCAAACCCUCACAAGAAAUACAGUACCCAAAAUAAGUUGUGUCCUUGGACCCAAACACACACUUCGACUGCUUUAGCUUUAAACCAACGUCGUGUAGCCGAUCCAACACUUUACAAACAUCAUGAACGUGCUCCUCCCACGUCCCCUCCGAGUGGAUCAAGACAUCAUCAAUGAAGUCAGCAGUCACUUCUGGCAUAUUGCAAAGAACAUCGUCCAUCAUCUGCUAGAAGUUGCUGGAGCAUUAUUCAAACUAAACGGCAUCACUAAGAACUCGUAUAAAUCAAAUGGUGUACGAAAAGUAGUCUUAGGAAUAUCUUCUUCAGCCAUCGGUACUUGCCAGUACCUAGAAGCAAGAUUUAGCUUGGUGAACCGACUUCACCCCAGAUGAUCCAAGAGAUCAGCAAUGUGAGGAAGAGGGUACACAUCUGAGAUCGUCACCUCGUUUAACGGACGAUAGUCGAUGCAGAAACAAAUACUCCCAUCAGGCUUCAUCACAAGAUGAGGUUCACAUGCCUAAGGAUUCCAUGACUUCCGAAUAACACCUUUCUCUAACAUCUCCUUGACGUUUGCACAUAAAAUCUUGAUCUUCUUGGGUGACCAAUGACAAAUAGGAACCUUGAUUGGACGAACAUCCCCGGUUGGAAUCAAAUGAUAUGUGGCAAUCUUGGCCCCAGACGAUAGGUCAAAUUCAAAGAGAUCAGAAUACUCCUUCAUGAGCCGGUCAACCACUACAACACAAAGAUUGUCAGAGGGAUCAGAAAAGAGAAGAGUAGAACAAGAUAGAAAUAUAGGAGGAAAUAAUGGGGGAACAAAAGUAAUGGAAGCAAAGGUAGAAGUAGAGGGACGAAGAGGUAUGGAAGUGAGAGAAAUGGAUGAAACAUAAGGAAGUAUGAAACAAGGGGAGAAGCCUCAAAGUCACACUUGGCAUGAUUGCACUGUAACCAAUCAAUACGAAGAAUGAGGUCAAAAGCUUGACUUAGCACCACCCGCAAUGACUGCAACUCAAGCUCGAGAUCACCCACAUGCACAACUAGGUCCGCCUCAUCCUGUGCACAUGCAUGUGUACGGCUGUUGCCAUAAAGAAUGAAAACUGGUUCUGCCGACGACGCUAGUGUAGAGGGCAACAUGUGGCAAUAAGUCGAGCAAUAGAAGAUAAACUCAAAUCUGUAUCAACCAACAUGGAGAAAAUAAUAGGAGACCUUUUGUUAUAAAAACAAGCUUGGAAAGUAAACACUGGAUGAACUGGUGCCAAGUGAACCCCUUAAUGAUGCUCCCAAAAGAAAGAUGAAGGGGUCACUAAUUUAUUUGUGCAAGGUCCUUCCAUUACUUGCGUGACUCCUCAUUUCCCAGAUGCAUCUCGGUGUCCAAACCUUCCAUUGCAACAGCACCAAUGGGACGUUGCUGACGCCAAGGUUGUAAGAGACUAAAUUUUCCAUUCUACUUUAGUCAUUUAACCACACCUCCAACCACUUGGAGGAGUCUCAUUCACAACCUCCAUAAGUCCAAUUCAGGACUUGGGACUUGCUAGCCCCGAGAAUGGCAUCCAUGCCAUUCAACAUUUGUACUUGGUCCCAGUGCUCCACGUGUCCGAUCCCAUGACCGACACUCAAAGGUGACACCGACAUGGCAGCUUGUUACGCUAAGGCCAUGCCCAAUCACCUUUGCCACACUGGUGGUCCAAUACCACUUGCAUCACAGUCUUGGCUAUCCAAGACUAGGCAAACCAUCUGUGAGUGGUCAUCUCAUAUCCACUCCUUAACAUCCUUAGGAUGCCCACCGACAAGGGGAAUAGCCUUCUCCAAUAUCCCUCUGUCAGUCCCCACUAAGUCCCUUUCUGCCCUUGGCCGUGUUUGCCAACACUGCCACUGGAUCAAGGCCCACAGGCCCGACCACUAAGUCCCACGGUCCUCUGAGACUUCCUCACCACACAACUGUGUCCUUGGUCACUGCCCCAGAGGACUGCUCCUCUUCCUUUCCACAGUCUGAGCCUUUGGGACAACAUUUCGGAACACCGGGGCCUUACGCGAGCCACCUGGGUACUCUCCUCACCUUCCGCCCUUGGGUGCUCUAGCCAUAGGCUUAGAGCGAGGUUCCAUUGAGCCACGCCUGGUAUCCAAGUAGGUAGUGCCACCCACACUUGGACUGGGAGCAUCGGCCAGUCGAUCUCCCGGGGGAACUAGAGCCGGCUCUUGAACACUUCACCAAGCUACCCAGCUUGUCGGUCCGUGUUCACUCUAGUCUUGGACUUCCCAGUGGUCAGCUCAUCACCCAACACUGGGUAUGGCCUUCCUGGGCCAAACUAGCCUUUCCUGGGCCAAACUGGCUCCACUGGGCUCCAACCCCCACACUCUCCCUACUAUACUUUUGGAACCCCCCACAGCCCCCCCCCAGAUGCAUCUCGGUGUCCAAACCUUCCAUUGCAACAGCACCAAUGGGACGUUGCUGACGCCAAGGUUGUAAGCGACUAAAUUUUCCAUUCUACUUUAGUCAUUUAACCACACCUCCAACCACUUGGAGGAGUCUCAUUCACAACCUCCAUAAGUCCAAUUCAGGACUUGGGACUUGCUAGCCCCGAGAAUGGCAUCCAUGCCAUUCAACAUUUGUACUUGGUCCCAGUGCUCCACGUGUCCGAUCCCAUGACCGACACUCAAAGGUGACACCGACAUGGCAGCUUGUUACGCUAAGGCCAUGCCCAAUCACCUUUGCCACACUGGUGGUCCAAUACCACUUGCAUCACAGUCUUGGCUAUCCAAGACUAGGCAAACCAUCUGUGAGUGGUCAUCUCAUAUCCACUCCUUAACAUCCUUAGGAUGCCCACCGACAAGGGGAAUAGCCUUCUCCAAUAUCCCUCUGUCAGUCCCCACUAAGUCCCUUUCUGCCCUUGGCCGUGUUUGCCAACACUGCCACUGGAUCAAGGCCCACAGGCCCGACCACUAAGUCCCACGGUCCUCUGAGACUUCCUCACCACACAACUGUGUCCUUGGUCACUGCCCCAGAGGACUGCUCCUCUUCCUUUCCACAGUCUGAGCCUUUGGGACAACAUUUCGGAACACCGGGGCCUUACGCGAGCCACCUGGGUACUCUCCUCACCUUCCGCCCUUGGGUGCUCUAGCCAUGGGCUUAGAGCGAGGUUCCAUUGAGCCACGCCUGGUAUCCAAGUAGGUAGUGCCACCCACACUUGGACUGGGAGCAUCGGCCAGUCGAUCUCCCGGGGGAACUAGAGCCGGCUCUUGAACACUUCACCAAGCUACCCAGCUUGUCGGUCCGUGUUCACUCUAGUCUUGGACUUCCCAGUGGUCAGCUCAUCACCCAACACUGGGUAUGGCCUUCCUGGGCCAAACUAGCCUUUCCUGGGCCAAACUGGCUCCACUGGGCUCCAAGCCCCACACUCUCCCUACUAUACUUUUGGAACCCCCCACAGCCCCCCCCCAGAUGCAUCUCGGUGUCCAAACCUUCCAUUGCAACAGCACCAAUGGGACGUUGCUGACGCCAAGGUUGUAAGCGACUAAAUUUUCCAUUCUACUUUAGUCAUUUAACCACACCUCCAACCACUUGGAGGAGUCUCAUUCACAACCUCCAUAAGUCCAAUUCAGGACUUGGGACUUGCUAGCCCCGAGAAUGGCAUCCAUGCCAUUCAACAUUUGUACUUGGUCCCAGUGCUCCACGUGUCCGAUCCCAUGACCGACACUCAAAGGUGACACCGACAUGGCAGCUUGUUACGCUAAGGCCAUGCCCAAUCACCUUUGCCACACUGGUGGUCCAAUACCACUUGCAUCACAGUCUUGGCUAUCCAAGACUAGGCAAACCAUCUGUGAGUGGUCAUCUCAUAUCCACUCCUUAACAUCCUUAGGAUGCCCACCGACAAGGGGAAUAGCCUUCUCCAAUAUCCCUCUGUCAGUCCCCACUAAGUCCCUUUCUGCCCUUGGCCGUGUUUGCCAACACUGCCACUGGAUCAAGGCCCACAGGCCCGACCACUAAGUCCCACGGUCCUCUGAGACUUCCUCACCACACAACUGUGUCCUUGGUCACUGCCCCAGAGGACUGCUCCUCUUCCUUUCCACAGUCUGAGCCUUUGGGACAACAUUUCGGAACACCGGGGCCUUACGCGAGCCACCUGGGUACUCUCCUCACCUUCCGCCCUUGGGUGCUCUAGCCAUGGGCUUAGAGCGAGGUUCCAUUGAGCCACGCCUGGUAUCCAAGUAGGUAGUGCCACCCACACUUGGACUGGGAGCAUCGGCCAGUCGAUCUCCCGGGGGAACUAGAGCCGGCUCUUGAACACUUCACCAAGCUACCCAGCUUGUCGGUCCGUGUUCACUCUAGUCUUGGACUUCCCAGUGGUCAGCUCAUCACCCAACACUGGGUAUGGCCUUCCUGGGCCAAACUAGCCUUUCCUGGGCCAAACUGGCUCCACUGGGCUCCAACCCCCACACUCUCCCUACUAUACUUUUGGAACCCCCCACAGCCCCCCCCCCCCCCCCCCCCCCUGGGGGACGAUCGCUUUGGGCUUUCACCCAACUACCUGUAUUAGUAUUCGGACUCGGACUCGGACUCAGUCCCGGUCCCGGUUUUGGACUCGGUCUCGGUCUCGGUCUCGGCUUCGGCCUCGGUCUCGGUCUCGGUCUCGGUCUCGGGUCCAUCUCGGACUCCAUCUUGGACUCCAUCUCGGACUCCAUCUCGGGUCCAUCUCAGACUCCAUCUCGGGUCCAUCUCGGACUCCAUCUCGGACUCCAUCUCGGGUCCAUCUCGGACUCCAUCUCGGACUCCAUCUCGGACUCCAUCUCGGGUCCAUCUCGGACUCCAUCUCGGACUCCAUCUCGGGUCCAUCUCGGACUCCAUCUCGGGUCCAUCUCGGACUCCAUCUCGGGUCCAUCCCGGACUCCAACUCGGACUCCACUUCGGACUCCAACUCGGACUCCACUUCGGACUCCAACUUGGACUCCACUUCGGACUCCAACUCGGACUCCACUUCGGACUCCAACUCGAACUCCACCUCGGACUCCACCUCGGGUCCUUCUCGGACUCCAGUUCGGACUCCAACUCGGGUCCAUCUCAGGUCCAUCUCGGACACUUCCACGUGUCAUGUGUUGGUCCUUUUGGGUCCCUUUUUGGAGCCGCGCUUAUUGCUCGCUUCGUGCUCAUUCCUCGAGCACUUCGUUAGGAGUUCCACUCCCGCUCUCGACCUUUCAAGUCAGAGCUUUUGGCCCAAACGUGUUACACUUGUUUGGCUUUCGCUUUGGCCACUACCACGUGGCACCCUUCCGGCUCCACUUUGGGGCCUAGGGAUUUUGUGUCUCACAACUCCACCACCCAUAGACGAAGUUCGAUGUCCUCAUCGAACGGUAAACCAUUUUAUAAAGUAACACCCGCAUGUGUUACCAUUUCCAUCCUUGGCACCUAGCCAAUAUUUGUCAAUGGUUUGACAUUGAAGGCUCACCAUGCCUUCUCCAUAUUCGUCAAUAGUUUGACAUUGAAGGCUCACCAUGCCUUUUGCAUAUUCCUCAAUGGUUUGACACCAAAGGCUCACCAUGCCUUGCCCAUCCUCUAAGGAGGGUAGUCUCUCCAACUUAGAGACUGAUUGGACCACAUGUAGUGAUUCUCUCCUUUUAUUGGUUUAGUUCUCGCUAAACCUCUUAGAGACCCUUCUCUAAGUCAAUCCCACUACUCCUUCUCGAGUAGUCUCAAUUUCCAUCUAUUGAACAUUUGCACCUUGGAACUUUUACUCUUUUGACUUUUGGAAGUCAAUUUCCUAGGUGUCUCCAACACCUUGCAUUGCACAGAUUGUGCAACUCCACUUCCCCAUUCUAGGAAGUUCGUUACUUGAGGGCACCAUCAUCCUCUCUUCUAUUUCGUGCCACCUUGGGCACUAAGUUCUAUUUAUCAUACUUUGUGCUAAGGCUGUCCAUGGCCCUAUCAUUUGGCUACCUUACCGCUCCCUCCCUUGGAGCUUCCACUUUCGCCAAAUUGGAGCAAUUUGGAAUCCAUCCUUGGAAACACACUUCCUUUCCCGCAAUUUGUUAGUGUCCAACACAUUAGUGUUCCUCGCCUAACUUUGUCACUUGGAUUCCUUCCAAGGGAUUCCACGGCCCUAUCUUGGCCACUCAUCUUUUGCUCCUAUCCAUUGAUUGUUGCACCAAGCAACAUCGAAUCUCUACCUCCCUCCUUGAGGUAUUCUUUUGAUUCCAUACCAAAGGCUCUGCUUUGCCAAGACUAGGGUGUUCACCCCUAGUAAGUCUCUUUAUGUAGCGCACGUGGUUUUGACCCUUUAUCUUAUGGUGGUUUACCAUAGGAUAACACCACGAAGCGGAACCUAAACCCUCUUUGUGCCACGUGACAUAUGCCACGUGUCACAUGCCACGUGUCCAUGCCACAUGUCCAUAGGAACCCGAGGUUCAGGGCCUUGGGCCACUGAACGAAGGAACGGUGCCAAACUCCCAAGCAUGGAGCCAAGGAAUGAUAGAACCGAACCAUGGAGCAACCCUCGAGCAUAAAGCCCAAGGAACGAAGGGACAGGAGCCCGGAGCGACUUGGAACAGUCCUAGAGUAACCAGCAUCCCAAUGCUAGGACCAGCAUGCAAAACGGAGCCAAAUGGAGUCUGGCGCUAUUUCGGCAUACCGGUGGCCUAACGCGAGGAUAUGGGUACUCCACCAACUAGCAUGGAAUGGAACUUGGGCUUAGACCCAAGCCGGACGCAGAACAAGGACAGGCACGCAAGCGGGAGCUAGACUAUGCCUCAGGUUGGUUGGCCAUGCCCGACCUACCCACUAUCCCUACUAUACAUUUGGAACCCCCCAUAGCCCCCCCCCCCCCCUUGAGGAACACACGCUUUGGGCUUUCACCCCAAGCCUCCCUUAGUAUCAGGAGUUAGUCUUUGGGACAAGCUCGAAACUUACUAAAUAUGGAAUGUCCCUAGAUUGUGAAUUUGGACACGGGACGAACACCAUUGUGUUCAGGCCGAUCUCUACAUUCUGUAGAUAUGCCAAAUGAGCAAAUCUGGACACUUUCCAUAAAUAGCAUUUAGGACUGAAAUGAGACUAACACAAAGGGCAUGAUAGUGAGGGUGUUUGGCAAACACGGUAAGCUAUCAUCUAGCGAUAUUGAGGGACCAAGCUCAAUAUCGCGGGGGUUCCCAACACUAGCAAGUGCAAGUCAACGAAUGAGUUUCUCUAACCAAGUCAAGUAUGCUUGACAAAUAGCAUGUAGGAAUUUCGUCCUUAUGCUCAUCUGGUCAAGUGCACACGCGAGGACCAGUUUCUCAACUAGCUUAGGCGGAGGCUGAUAACGGGUUCAGCAAUACCGACCUCCUGCCAUCGUGGCAGUAAGGUAAGAGUGUCCGUAACGACUAGCCGACAAGUAACUUUCGAUACCCGAAGUCACAUUCGCGACACUCUCCCCCCCUAGGGAAGAUCGACGUCCUCGUCGAUGCAUACUCAAGUCUAGAAUACCGCCAAGGAAACAACUCUAGAAAAAUUUCACGGUACUCACACUAUGUGAGAAAUGCACCAACUUAAAUGAGUUAGAGGGCAACCUCUUUGUCUAACGCAGAUGCGCUACCAGCUCAGACACCUUCCGGCCAUCGCCGACAAGGAAAUGACUAACAGAUUCAGCCACCCUUGCUACUCUGGGAGUCACCCAGCUUACAAAAGUGUGAUAUGCCCCUGCCCGCAGGGACAUAGAGAGAGAAGCCAGAGGCCCCAACCCUCCUAAGCAAAGAAACCAAACCUGUCGGUAAGGUUUAGAUAGACUACUGUAAACAGGCAGUUAGAGUUGUUUACACGGUCACGCCCUUUUAAUGGAAUAAGGAACAUCGACAGAGAGGCGGGUGAUGUGACCAGUCGACAGUAGCUAUCCCAUGACUAGAGAUUUCACCAUGCACACGAAGUGCCGAAGCCAGUCUGCCUAUAUUGGCCCAAACUCAAAGAUCAAUAGAUGGACAAUAUCAAAGUCAUAGACAAUGAUAUCUUAGAGACUUAAUUAUCAGUGAAUAAAUCUUAUAUUAGAACACAAAAGUAUUCCAAGUAUGUUAUCAUCUGAUAAACUAGUAUUAUAGUAGAGGAACCACCAAGAUCAUCAUAAUUGGUAAACAUAGGAUUCACCAUCAAACAAAAUGCAAUAGCAAGUAUAUCAUCAAGUAAACUCAAUGAUAAAGUUUAACUAUUAAAGAUUGCAGACAGAAUGCCAAACAACUUAUGAAAGAUAACUCAAAGAAUACAAAGUAUCAUUGACGGACAAGCACAAUGCUCGCGAAUGUAUCACCCGAAAGAAAUAACAUCCCAAUCUAUCAAAACUAACCUGAGCAAUAAUCAACAGAACAGAAUGAAUGCGGUAAGACCAACAAACACUCACUUCUGCUAGCUAUCACAAAAGCCAAUCUGAAUAGAUCCCAGCCAACAAUACCAAGGAACUCAAGUUGCCUAAGCAAGUGUCAGCAACAUCCUACUGAUGUUUCAAACCCAAGAGACCAAUCCAGAACAAACCACAAAGAACAUGUGGUAUUGCAAAAAGCCAGAAGCCAUCAAAAAGAAUAACUAACUUAUCAUGAAAGACUAUCAAUCAUCCCAUCAAGAAAGAGAUGCAUAAUCAUCGUUGAAGAAAGAAUCUACCAUCCUGAAGAACAGCAACUCAGUCUAUACCAACAAUAAUCAAGCAAAACCUUUUUGACAAGGAUAAUCAACUAUCCCAGAUGAUAGUCAAUCAUCACCAAUGAUUGCUAGACGCAAAUACUAACUUCAACAUUGAAGCUAAAGAGCCAAAAAUGCCUUCCCCAACAACUUCAAACAAAUGGACCACAAGUAUGAUAACGCAAGGAACCAAAAGCUCGAAGAAGUCUAUAGCUAAGUUUUUGCCUAACAAUGAUCACGAGUCUCGCAUGAAUUAACUUCAAUGCUAAAGAAGAAAUCAUGGUAUAACCCACAAUAUCUUUCUCAACACAUCCAUAAGCUAAACUUCAUAAUGCCAAAGCUAUUGAAGAGCAUAUCUGCAUCAAUCCAAAAGCCAAGCACAAUGAAGCUAUGCUCAACAAGUGAUCACUAAAUGAUCCUCCAUGAAUCCAUCUAUAGCAAGACGUAACUCACUUCAUAACAAGCACAAGAAGAAUCAUUAAUGAUCGAUAUAUUCCAACUCAAACCCAAUAAGGAUUCAAACUUUUCAAUAUCGAUCACUAACUCUUCCACUUAUAGAGUUAGCAUAGUCCAUGACUAAAUCACUUUUCAAAGAAAAGCCAACACUCAACCCCUACUAAAUAAUCUCGUCUAAAACACAACUAACUCAAACUUGCCACUCAGUUCAUUUGAACGUCAACAUAGUUACUAACUAGCAAAUGCGCAAAUGCUAAUAACACAAAGUCAUGGCCAAAUCAUCAACACGAUCUCUAUCGAGAGUAAUGAAACGCAAUAUCAAUCCUAAGGAUAGACAUCUCAUCUCACUUAAAUCUCAACAUCAACAAUAUCAACAACA
RNAcentral lists this long non-coding RNA (29838 nucleotides) under Selaginella moellendorffii. RNAcentral's name for it is "long non-coding RNA (SMOE_LNC000133)". The record is from RNAcentral. Lineage: Eukaryota; Viridiplantae; Streptophyta; Lycopodiopsida; Selaginellales; Selaginellaceae.